This 1448-nucleotide ribosomal RNA is filed under the name uncultured organism. Its description in RNAcentral is "SSU rRNA". It matches the Rfam family "Bacterial small subunit ribosomal RNA". The record is from RNAcentral.
GAACGCUAGCGACAGGCUUAACACAUGCAAGUCGAGGGGCAGCACAGGUAGCAAUACCGGGUGGCGACCGGCGCACGGGUGAGUAACGCGUAUGCAACUUGCCUAUCAGAGGGGGAUAACCCGGCGAAAGUCGGACUAAUACCGCAUGAAGCAGGGGCCCCGCAUGGGGAUAUUUGCUAAAGAUUCAUCGCUGAUAGAUAGGCAUGCGUUCCAUUAGGCAGUUGGCGGGGUAACGGCCCACCAAACCGACGAUGGAUAGGGGUUCUGAGAGGAAGGUCCCCCACAUUGGUACUGAGACACGGACCAAACUCCUACGGGAGGCAGCAGUGAGGAAUAUUGGUCAAUGGCCGAGAGGCUGAACCAGCCAAGUCGCGUGAGGGAUGAAGGUUCUAUGGAUCGUAAACCUCUUUUAUAAGGGAAUAAAGUGCGGGACGUGUCCCGUUUUGUAUGUACCUUAUGAAUAAGGAUCGGCUAACUCCGUGCCAGCAGCCGCGGUAAUACGGAGGAUCCGAGCGUUAUCCGGAUUUAUUGGGUUUAAAGGGUGCGUAGGCGGCCUUUUAAGUCAGCGGUGAAAGUCUGUGGCUCAACCAUAGAAUUGCCGUUGAAACUGGGGGGCUUGAGUAUGUUUGAGGCAGGCGGAAUGCGUGGUGUAGCGGUGAAAUGCAUAGAUAUCACGCAGAACCCCGAUUGCGAAGGCAGCCUGCCAAGCCAUUACUGACGCUGAUGCACGAAAGCGUGGGGAUCAAACAGGAUUAGAUACCCUGGUAGUCCACGCAGUAAACGAUGAUCACUAGCUGUUUGCGAUACACUGUAAGCGGCACAGCGAAAGCGUUAAGUGAUCCACCUGGGGAGUACGCCGGCAACGGUGAAACUCAAAGGAAUUGACGGGGGCCCGCACAAGCGGAGGAACAUGUGGUUUAAUUCGAUGAUACGCGAGGAACCUUACCCGGGUUUGAACGCAUUCGGACCGAGGUGGAAACACCUUUUCUAGCAAUAGCCGUUUGCGAGGUGCUGCAUGGUUGUCGUCAGCUCGUGCCGUGAGGUGUCGGCUUAAGUGCCAUAACGAGCGCAACCCUUGCCACUAGUUACUAACAGGUAAAGCUGAGGACUCUGGUGGGACUGCCAGCGUAAGCUGCGAGGAAGGCGGGGAUGACGUCAAAUCAGCACGGCCCUUACAUCCGGGGCGACACACGUGUUACAAUGGCGUGGACAAAGGGAAGCCACCUGGCGACAGGGAGCGAAUCCCCAAACCACGUCUCAGUUCGGAUCGGAGUCUGCAACCCGACUCCGUGAAGCUGGAUUCGCUAGUAAUCGCGCAUCAGCCAUGGCGCGGUGAAUACGUUCCCGGGCCUUGUACACACCGCCCGUCAAGCCAUGGGAGCCGGGGGUACCUGAAGUCCGUAACCGCGAGGAUCGGCCUAGGGUAAAACUGGUGACUGGGGCUAAGU